This 486-nucleotide ribosomal RNA is filed under the name uncultured bacterium. Its description in RNAcentral is "partial 16S ribosomal RNA". It matches the Rfam family "Bacterial small subunit ribosomal RNA", at positions 28 to 507 of the family's 1533-position model. The record is from RNAcentral.
GACGAACGCUGGCGGCGUGCUUAACACAUGCAAGUCGAACGCUGAAGCCCUGGCUUUUGUUGGGUUGGAUGAGUGGCGAACGGGUGAGUAACACGUGAGUAACCUGCCCUCUUCUUUGGGAUAACGCCCGGAAACGGGUGCUAAUACUGGAUAUUCACUGGCCUUCGCAUGGGGGUUGGUGGAAAGGUUUGUUCUGGUGGGGGAUGGGCUCGCGGCCUAUCAGCUUGUUGGUGGGGUGAUGGCCUACCAAGGCUUUGACGGGUAGCCGGCCUGAGAGGGUGACCGGUCACAUUGGGACUGAGAUACGGCCCAGACGCCUACGGGAGGCAGCAGUGGGGAAUAUUGCACAAUGGGCGAAAGCCUGAUGCAGCGACGCCGCGUGAGGGAUGGAGGCCUUCGGGUUGUAAACCUCUUUCGCUCAUGGUCAAGCCGCAACUGUGGGUUGUGGUGAGGGUAGUGGGUAAAGAAGCGCCGGCUAACUACGUG